RNAcentral lists this ribosomal RNA (429 nucleotides) under uncultured bacterium. Its description in RNAcentral is "bacterial SSU rRNA". It matches the Rfam family "Bacterial small subunit ribosomal RNA", at positions 355 to 776 of the family's 1533-position model. The record is from RNAcentral.
UGGGGAAUAUUGCACAAUGGGCGAAAGCCUGAUGCAGCCAUGCCGCGUGUAUGAAGAAGGCCUUCGGGUUGUAAAGUACUUUCAGUUGUGAGGAAGGGGGUGUCGUUAAUAGCGGCAUCUCUUGACGUUAGCAACAGAAGAAGCACCGGCUAACUCCGUGCCAGCAGCCGCGGUAAUACGGAGGGUGCGAGCGUUAAUCGGAAUUACUGGGCGUAAAGCGCAUGCAGGUGGUUCAUUAAGUCAGAUGUGAAAGCCCGGGGCUCAACCUCGGAACUGCAUUUGAAACUGGUGAACUAGAGUACUGUAGAGGGGGGUAGAAUUUCAGGUGUAGCGGUGAAAUGCGUAGAGAUCUGAAGGAAUACCAGUGGCGAAGGCGGCCCCCUGGACAGAUACUGACACUCAGAUGCGAAAGCGUGGGGAGCAAACAGG